This 440-nucleotide ribosomal RNA is filed under the name uncultured bacterium. Its description in RNAcentral is "partial 16S ribosomal RNA". It matches the Rfam family "Bacterial small subunit ribosomal RNA", at positions 338 to 795 of the family's 1533-position model. The record is from RNAcentral.
CCUACGUGAGGCAGCAGUGGGGACUAUUGCACAAUGGGGGCAACCCUGAUGCAGCGACGCCGCGUGAGUGAAGAAGUAUUUCGGUAUGUAAAGCUCUAUCAGCAGGGAAGAAAAUGACGGUACCUGAUUAAGAAGCCCCGGCUAACUCCGUGCCAGCAGCCGCGGUAAUACGUAGGGGGCAAGCGUUAUCCGGAUUUACUGGGUGUAAAGGGAGCGUAGCCGGCAGCACGAGUCAGAGGUGAAAUGCCGGGGCUUAACCCCGGAACUGCUUUGGAUACUGGGCAGCGAGAGUGCAGGAGAGGUGAGUGGAAUUCCUAGUGUAGCGGUGAAAUGCGUAGAGAUGAGGAGGAACACCAGUGGCGAAGGCGGCUUACUGGACUGUAACUGACGUUGAGGCGCGAAAGCGUGGGGAGCAAACAGGAUUAGAUACCCGUGUAGUC